Molecule: ribosomal RNA, 250 nt
Filed under: uncultured Sphingobacteriia bacterium
Lineage: Bacteria; Pseudomonadati; Bacteroidota; Sphingobacteriia
Description: partial 16S ribosomal RNA
Rfam family: Bacterial small subunit ribosomal RNA
Source: RNAcentral
UACGGAGGGUGCAAGCGUUAUCCGGAUUCACUGGGUUUAAAGGGUGCGUAGGCGGGCUUAUAAGUCAGUGGUGAAAUCCUCAGACUUAACUGGAGAACUGCCAUUGAUACUAUCAGUCUUGAAUACAGUUGAGGUGGGCGGAAUAUGUCGUGUAGCGGUGAAAUGCUUAGAUAUGACAUAGAACACCAAUUGCGAAGGCAGCUCGCUAAACUGUUAUUGACGCUGAGGCACGAAAGCGUGGGGAUCAAAC